RNAcentral lists this ribosomal RNA (296 nucleotides) under uncultured bacterium. RNAcentral's name for it is "partial 16S ribosomal RNA". It matches the Rfam family "Bacterial small subunit ribosomal RNA", at positions 29 to 352 of the family's 1533-position model. The record is from RNAcentral.
AACGAACGCUGGCGGCAUGCCUAACACAUGCAAGUCGAACGAAGCCUUCGGGCUUAGUGGCGCACGGGUGCGUAACGCGUGGGAAUCUGCCCUUGGGUUCGGAAUAACAGUUAGAAAUGACUGCUAAUACCGAAUGAUGUCUUCGGACCAAAGAUUUAUCACCCAAGGAUGAGCCCCGCGUCGGAUUAGCUAGUUGGUGAGGUAAAGGCUCACCAAGGCGACGAUCCGUAGCUGGUCUGAGAGGAUGAUCAGCCACACUGGGACUGAGACACGGCCCAGACUCCUACGGAGGCAGC